This 187-nucleotide unclassified non-coding RNA is filed under the name fungal sp. Its description in RNAcentral is "partial internal transcribed spacer region". The stretch from base 1 to 46 matches the Rfam family "Eukaryotic small subunit ribosomal RNA", at positions 1786 to 1831 of the family's 1831-position model. Lineage: Eukaryota; Fungi. The record is from RNAcentral.
AAGUCGUAACAAGGUUUCCGUAGGUGAACCUGCGGAAGGAUCAUUAUUUUAAAAUUAUUAAUGUUUUGUGAAUUUUGUGUAAAAAGAGAGUUUUUAUUACACUCUUCUUCACAAUAAUGAAAAUUAUUAUAGUCUUAUUAAUAAAAUUUUUAUUAAAUAACUUUUAACAAUGGAUCUCUUGGCUCUU